RNAcentral lists this transfer RNA (72 nucleotides) under Sus scrofa (pig). It matches the Rfam family "tRNA". From Rfam's summary of the family: Transfer RNA (tRNA) molecules are approximately 80 nucleotides in length. Their secondary structure includes four short double-helical elements and three loops (D, anti-codon, and T loops). The record is from Rfam by way of RNAcentral. Lineage: Eukaryota; Metazoa; Chordata; Mammalia; Artiodactyla; Suidae.
UCCCUGGUGGUCUUGUGGUUAAGAUUUGGCACUUUCACUGCUGUAACCUGGGAACGAUCCCUGGUCUGGGAA